GAUGAACGCUGGCGGCGUGCCUAAUACAUGCAAGUCGAGCGAACAGAUGAGGAGCUUGCUCCUCUGACGUUAGCGGCGGACGGGUGAGUAACACGUGGAUAACCUACCUAUAAGACUGGGAUAACUUCGGGAAACCGGAGCUAAUACCGGAUAAUAUAUUGAACCGCAUGGUUCAAUAGUGAAAGACGGUUUUGCUGUCACUUAUAGAUGGAUCCGCGCCGCAUUAGCUAGUUGGUAAGGUAACGGCUUACCAAGGCAACGAUGCGUAGCCGACCUGAGAGGGUGAUCGGCCACACUGGAACUGAGACACGGUCAAGACUCCUACGGGAGGCAGCAGUAGGGAAUCUUCCGAAAUGGGCGAAAGCCUGACGGAGCAACGCCGCGUGAGUGAUGAAGGUCUUCGGAUCGUAAAACUCUGUUAUUAGGGAAGAACAAAUGUGUAAGUAACUAUGCACGUCUUGACGGUACCUAAUCAGAAAGCCACGGCUAACUACGUG
RNAcentral lists this ribosomal RNA (497 nucleotides) under uncultured bacterium. RNAcentral describes it as "partial 16S ribosomal RNA". It matches the Rfam family "Bacterial small subunit ribosomal RNA", at positions 28 to 507 of the family's 1533-position model. The record is from RNAcentral.